GAGGCGCUAGUCCAAAAAAGACAGCUGAUUUCGGCUCAGCUAAUUAUGGUUUAAAUCCAUAGCCCCUUUUA
Molecule: transfer RNA, 71 nt
Filed under: Rhacophorus poecilonotus
Lineage: Eukaryota; Metazoa; Chordata; Amphibia; Anura; Rhacophoridae
Description: tRNA-Arg
Rfam family: tRNA
About the family: Transfer RNA (tRNA) molecules are approximately 80 nucleotides in length. Their secondary structure includes four short double-helical elements and three loops (D, anti-codon, and T loops).
Source: RNAcentral